AACGCUAGCUACAGGCUUAACACAUGCAAGUCGAGGGGCAGCAUGAUUUGUAGCAAUACAGAUUGAUGGCGACCGGCGCACGGGUGAGUAACGCGUAUGCAACUUACCUAUCAGAGGGGGAUAGCCCGGCGAAAGUCGGAUUAAUACCCCAUAAAACAGGGGUCCCGCAUGGGAAUAUUUGUUAAAGAUUCAUCGCUGAUAGAUAGGCAUGCGUUCCAUUAGGCAGUUGGCGGGGUAACGGCCCACCAAACCGACGAUGGAUAGGGGUUCUGAGAGGAAGGUCCCCCACAUUGGUACUGAGACACGGACCAAACUCCUACGGGAGGCAGCAGUGAGGAAUAUUGGUCAAUGGCCGAGAGGCUGAACCAGCCAAGUCGCGUGAAGGAAGAAGGAUCUAUGGUUUGUAAACUUCUUUUAUAGGGGAAUAAAGUGGAGGACGUGUCCUUUUUUGUAUGUACCCUAUGAAUAAGCAUCGGCUAACUCCGUGCCAGCAGCCGCGGUGAUACGGAGGAUGCGAGCGUUAUCCGGAUUUAUUGGGUUUAAAGGGUGCGUAGGUGGUGAUUUAAGUCAGCGGUGAAAGUUUGUGGCUCAACCAUAAAAUUGCCGUUGAAACUGGGUUACUUGAGUGUGUUUGAGGUAGGCGGAAUGCGUGGUGUAGCGGUGAAAUGCAUAGAUAUCACGAAGAACUCCGAUUG
RNAcentral lists this ribosomal RNA (695 nucleotides) under uncultured bacterium. Its description in RNAcentral is "bacterial SSU rRNA". It matches the Rfam family "Bacterial small subunit ribosomal RNA", at positions 32 to 715 of the family's 1533-position model. The record is from RNAcentral.